Molecule: ribosomal RNA, 376 nt
Filed under: uncultured bacterium
Lineage: Bacteria
Description: bacterial SSU rRNA
Rfam family: Bacterial small subunit ribosomal RNA
Source: RNAcentral
CUACGGAGGGUGCAAGCGUUAAUCGGAAUUACUGGGCGUAAAGGGUGCGUAGGUUGUUGUAUAAGUUAGUUGUGAAAUACCUGUGCUUAACGCGGGGGUGUCAACUAGUACUGUAUGACUUGAGUAAAGCAGAGGGUGGUAGAAUUUCCGGUGUAGCGGUGAAAUGCGUAGAGAUCGGAAGGAAUACCGGUGGCGAUGGCGUCCACCUGGGCUAUUACUGACACUGAGGCACGAAAGCGUGGGUAGCAAACAGGAUUAGAUACCCUGGUAGUCCACGCUGUAAACGAUGUCAACUAGCUGUUUGAUACAUUAGAUAUUGGGUAGCGCAGCCAACGCGAUAAGUUGACCGCCUGGGGAGUACGGUCGCAAGAUUAAA